Molecule: long non-coding RNA, 1556 nt
Organism: Homo sapiens (human)
Lineage: Eukaryota; Metazoa; Chordata; Mammalia; Primates; Hominidae
Product: long intergenic non-protein coding RNA 511
Source: Ensembl
ACUGGAAAGGAAGAAAUGACCGAGGGAGAAGGGAGGGCAUUUGAGGAGGAGAAAUAUUUUUCAAAGUCAUUUGAAUAUUAAAGAGCUGGGCCCAGAAGCCCUCCAUGUCCAGGAUGGAGAUCUGCAAGUCAAUCAAGUAUUUUUUAAAACGUAUUUUUCCCUCUCCACCCUGGUCUUCUCCUGUAACGUGUGGCCGCCUUUUCCAGCACGGCCUCCUGCCUUCCUGGUGCACUUUUUGGAGAACGUGGUGGAAUCAGAGGUUUCUGGCUGACUCGGUGGGUGCUUUGAACCAGGAAAGGACAAGAAAGAGGUGCCACCUCCUGAGUCCUGGUUCCUGCGGCUCCGUCGAAUCUGCAGUGAAGGCCUUUGGGAAGCGUGGGUUAUGUGGGUCCAGGGGUCCCAUCCUCCCGUGGAGGCCCUUGACCUGAGGAUCACUAACUCACACCCCACCGACUUCCGGCCCCCAACAAGGGCAGUGUUCCUCUUGCUCCAUUCUGCUCUGAAGUCCCCCAAACCGCUUCCUGGGGCUGCUUAGUGAAAUACAAGGCUCAUCUCUGAGGACCUCUACAGGGCUGGAUGGGAAGGACUGAUCCACAUUCCCACCAGGAAGUUUAGCAGAACCCCCGCGUGCCACCUGGACCCCUUGGAAGGACCUGGCUCAGGCUGGACCACCUCUUGAGAGGCAGGAGCUCUGGAUUUGAUCAAGAAUUCUUUGCUGAGCAUGGUGCCUCAUGCCUAUAAUCCCAACACUUUGGGAGGCCAGUGUGGGAGGAUCUCUUGAGCCCAGGAGUUCAAGACUAGCCUGGGCAACACAGAGAGACCCCAUCUCUAAAAUAAUAAUAAUAAUAAAAUAAAAAAUUAGCAGGGCAUGGUGGCAUGUGCCUGUAGUCCCAGCUACCCAGGAGGCUGAGGCAAGAGGAUGGCUGGAGCCUGGGAUGUUGAGGCUGCAAUGAACUGUGAUUACCCCACUGCACUCCAGCCUGGGCAAAAGAGCGAGAGACCCUGUCUCAAAUAAUAAUAAUAAUAAUAAUCUUAUUUUGGAGAAUAAAGAGACCUCUGGAUUUGAGGUGCCAUUUGGGUAGAAAGAAAAGACGUUUACACCGAGAAAUAGUCUGUGUUGCCCUGAAGGAGCAGAGGGAUGCAUCGCUGGAGGUGACCUACAGUUGAAGAAGACUCAUUAUGACAGACCUUGUCCUUCUUCCUUGUGGAAAGUGUUUCCUCUGCUGCUACUGCUCAUGAGACUCUUCCCCCUCCCUGUCCCAGGGAACCAAAGGGCUUUCUACCACACCCUUUCUUGCCCCCCGCCUCCCAUGUCUGCUGUGCCUUUGUACUCAGCAAUUCUUGUUUGCUCCAUUAUCUUCCAGCCGGAUACAGAGUGAAUAGUUAACCACACUUAGGUCAAAUAGGAUCUAAAUUUUUGUUCCUGCUCCGUGUAAAGAGGCCAGUGUUUGUGUGUUGCAAGCAGCCUUGGAAUAGUAACUCUUCUCAUUUGUUUGGGAUCUGGCCACCAAGUUCCAGAAUGAUACACGGAUCAGUGCAGAAGUUCAUCAGGCUCU